UUUUCGGUAAAUGCUCUAUAUAUGAAGCCUAUAAUCUUUUAAUUCGUUUUAAAAUUUAUAACCACGUUAUACAUUUGUAUUAAUGUAUGAUAAACUUCUUUUCAUGGUAAAUGGACAUCUUUCUAAUUUUUUAACAAUUGAUUUAGCAAAACUGUAAAUACUCCCUAAAUCAUUGGACUAACCACUAUAAAAUUGCUAUUCCUUAGAGAAACGGAGACAACAAAGGUUCCAAACCUCUUUGAACUUCAUCAUAUUUUAUUACAUGAUUCAAAUAUGUAUUAAAACAGUAUUUUCAAUUUUUU
Molecule: long non-coding RNA, 302 nt
Filed under: Brassica rapa (field mustard)
Lineage: Eukaryota; Viridiplantae; Streptophyta; Magnoliopsida; Brassicales; Brassicaceae
Description: long non-coding RNA (BRAP_LNC006224)
Source: RNAcentral